UGGGGAAUCUUGCGCAAUGGGCGAAAGCCUGACGCAGCGACGCCGCGUGAGGGAUGAAGGCCUUCGGGUUGUAAACCUCUUUCAGCAGGGACGAAGCGGAAGUGACGGUACCUGCAGAAGAAGCCCCGGCCAACUACGUGCCAGCAGCCGCGGUAAUACGUAGGGGGCGAGCGUUGUCCGGAUUUAUUGGGCGUAAAGAGCGCGUAGGCGGCCACCCAAGUCGAUCGUGAAAGCUCGGGGCUCAACCCCGAGAUUGCGGUCGAUACUGUGUGGCUAGAGGCUGGUAGGGGGGUGUGGAAUUCCCGGUGUAGCGGUGGAAUGCGCAGAUAUCGGGAGGAACACCGGUGGCGAAGGCGGCACCCUGGGCCGGUACUGACGCUGAGGUGCGAAAGCGUGGGGAGCAAA
Molecule: ribosomal RNA, 405 nt
Filed under: uncultured bacterium
Lineage: Bacteria
Description: bacterial SSU rRNA
Rfam family: Bacterial small subunit ribosomal RNA
Source: RNAcentral